Molecule: ribosomal RNA, 424 nt
Filed under: uncultured bacterium
Lineage: Bacteria
Description: partial 16S ribosomal RNA
Rfam family: Bacterial small subunit ribosomal RNA
Source: RNAcentral
UGGGGAAUUUUGGACAAUGGGCGCAAGCCUGAUCCAGCCAUGCCGCGUGCGGGAAGAAGGCCUUCGGGUUGUAAACCGCUUUUGUCAGGGAAGAAAUCUUCUGAGUUAAUACCUCGGGAGGAUGACGGUACCUGAAGAAUAAGCACCGGCUAACUACGUGCCAGCAGCCGCGGUAAUACGUAGGGUGCAAGCGUUAAUCGGAAUUACUGGGCGUAAAGCGUGCGCAGGCGGUUUUGUAAGACAGAGGUGAAAUCCCCGGGCUCAACCUGGGAACUGCCUUUGUGACUGCAAGGCUUGAGUGCGGCAGAGGGGGGAUGGAAUUCCGCGUGUAGCAGUGAAAUGCGUAGAUAUGCGGAGGAACACCGAUGGCGAAGGCAAUCCCCCUGGGCCUGCACUGACGCUCAUGCACGAAAGCGUGGGGAGC